Oryza nivara is the source of this 210-nucleotide non-coding RNA. Lineage: Eukaryota; Viridiplantae; Streptophyta; Magnoliopsida; Poales; Poaceae. The record is from Rfam.
AAAGACUGUUGUUUUACACUGCUUAUGUCCAAUGUUUAACCGUCCGUCUUAUUUGAAAAAAAAUUUAUGAUUAGUAUUUUUAUUAUUAUUAGAUGAUAAAAUAUGAAUAAUACUUUAUGUGUGACUAAUUUUUUUAAAAAAAAUUAUAUUUUUUUUCAAAUAACAUGGACGGUCAAACGUUGGACACGAAAACUCACAACUGCACUUAAA